RNAcentral lists this ribosomal RNA (253 nucleotides) under uncultured bacterium. RNAcentral describes it as "partial 16S ribosomal RNA". It matches the Rfam family "Bacterial small subunit ribosomal RNA", at positions 524 to 776 of the family's 1533-position model. The record is from RNAcentral.
UACGAAGGGGGCUAGCGUUGUUCGGAAUUACUGGGCGUAAAGCGCACGUAGGCGGACUCUUAAGUCGGUGGUGAAAUCCUGGAGCUCAAAUCCAGAACUGCCUUUGAUACUGAAGAUCUUGAGUUCGGGAGAGGUGAGUGGAACUGCGAGUGUAGAGGUGAAAUUCGUAGAUAUUCGCAAGAACACCAGUGGCGAAGGCGGCUCACUGGCCCGAUACUGACGCUGAGGCACGAAAGCGUGGGGAGCAAACAGG